AUUGAACGCUGGCGGCAUGCCUUACACAUGCAAGUCGAACGGCAGCACGGGUGCUUGCACCUGGUGGCGAGUGGCGAACGGGUGAGUAAUACAUCGGAACAUGUCCUGUAGUGGGGGAUAGCCCGGCGAAAGCCGGAUUAAUACCGCAUACGAUCCACGGAUGAAAGCGGGGGACCUUCGGGCCUCGCGCUAUAGGGUUGGCCGAUGGCUGAUUAGCUAGUUGGUGGGGUAAAGGCCUACCAAGGCGACGAUCAGUAGCUGGUCUGUGAGGACGACCAGCCACACUGGGACUGAGACACGGCCCAGACUCCUACGGGAGGCAGCAGUGGGGAAUUUUGGACAAUGGGCGAAAGCCUGAUCCAGCAAUGCCGCGUGUGUGAAGAAGGCCUUCGGGUUGUAAAGCACUUUUGUCCGGAAAGAAAUCCUUGGCUCUAAUACAGUCGGGGGAUGACGGUACCGGAAGAAUAAGCACCGGCUAACUACGUG
RNAcentral lists this ribosomal RNA (486 nucleotides) under uncultured bacterium. Its description in RNAcentral is "partial 16S ribosomal RNA". It matches the Rfam family "Bacterial small subunit ribosomal RNA", at positions 30 to 507 of the family's 1533-position model. The record is from RNAcentral.